CAGUAGCCGCGGUAAAACGUAGGGUGCGAGCGUUAAUCGGAAUUACUGGGCGUAAAGCGUGCGCAGGCGGUUUUGUAAGACAGGCGUGAAAUCCCCGGGCUCAACCUGGGAAUGGCGCUUGUGACUGCAAAGCUAGAGUGCGGCAGAGGGGGAUGGAAUUCCGCGUGUAGCAGUGAAAUGCGUAGAUAUGCGGAGGAGCACCGAUGGCGAAGGCAAUCCCCUGGGCCUGCACUGACGCUCAUGCACGAAAGCGUGGGGAGCAAACAGGAUUAGAUACCCCCGUAGUCCCUGUCUCUUAUAA
Molecule: ribosomal RNA, 301 nt
Filed under: uncultured bacterium
Lineage: Bacteria
Description: partial 16S ribosomal RNA
Rfam family: Bacterial small subunit ribosomal RNA
Source: RNAcentral